RNAcentral lists this RNase P RNA (396 nucleotides) under Candidatus Treponema equifaecale. RNAcentral describes it as "RNase P RNA component class A". It matches the Rfam family "Bacterial RNase P class A". Rfam says of the family: Ribonuclease P (RNase P) is a ubiquitous endoribonuclease, found in archaea, bacteria and eukarya as well as chloroplasts and mitochondria. The record is from RNAcentral. Lineage: Bacteria; Pseudomonadati; Spirochaetota; Spirochaetia; Treponematales; Treponemataceae.
AAAGAUAUAACCGUGCUUCCGCUGCUGAUGAAAGCAGAAUGGAAGUGAGGAAAGUCCGGGCUCCAUCGGAAAAAAUGCCGGAUAAUGACCGGGCAGUCUUCUGUAGUUGCUGUUUUCAGCAUAACCAGAAGGCUGACAGAAAGUGCCACAGAGAAUAUACCGCCGAAAGGUAAGGGUGCAAAGGCGAGGUAAGAGCUCACCGCAAAAAUGGCAACAUUUUUGGCAAGGCAAACCUCAUUUGGAGCAAAGUCAAGCAGUGGUUUGGUUUUUCCGAGCCUUAGAACCACGGGUAGGCUGCUAAAGGCUUCUGGUAACAGAAGUUUCGGAUAGAUGGUUAUGCGCUGUUGUCUUCUAAAAGAUGAUGGCAGGACAGAACCCGGCUUAUUGUCUUUUCUG